ACGGGUGCGUAACGCGUGGGAAUCUGCCCUUUGGUUCGGAAUAACAGCUGGAAACGGCUGCUAAUACCGGAUGAUGACGAAAGUCCAAAGAUUUAUCGCCAGAGGAUGAGCCCGCGUUGGAUUAGGUAGUUGGUGGGGUAAAGGCCUACCAAGCCGACGAUCCAUAGCUGGUCUGAGAGGAUGAUCAGCCACACUGGGACUGAGACACGGCCCAGACUCCUACGGGAGGCAGCAGUGGGGAAUAUUGGACAAUGGGCGAAAGCCUGAUCCAGCAAUGCCGCGUGAGUGAUGAAGGCCCUAGGGUUGUAAAGCUCUUUUACCCGGGAAGAUAAUGACUGUACCGGGAGAAUAAGCCCCGGCUAACUCCGUGCCAGCAGCCGCGGUAAUACGGAGGGGGCUAGCGUUGUUCGGAAUUACUGGGCGUAAAGCGCACGUAGGCGGCUUUGUAAGUCAGAGGUGAAAGCCUGGAGCUCAACUCCAGAACUGCCUUUGAGACUGCAUCGCUUGAAUCCAGGAGAGGUCAGUGGAAUUCCGAGUGUAGAGGUGAAAUUCGUAGA
RNAcentral lists this ribosomal RNA (557 nucleotides) under uncultured bacterium. Its description in RNAcentral is "bacterial SSU rRNA". It matches the Rfam family "Bacterial small subunit ribosomal RNA", at positions 102 to 694 of the family's 1533-position model. The record is from RNAcentral.